This 490-nucleotide ribosomal RNA is filed under the name uncultured bacterium. RNAcentral's name for it is "partial 16S ribosomal RNA". It matches the Rfam family "Bacterial small subunit ribosomal RNA", at positions 30 to 507 of the family's 1533-position model. The record is from RNAcentral.
AUUGAGCGCUGGCGGCAGGCCUAACACAUGCAAGUCGAACGGUAACAGAAGGCAGCUUGCUGCUUUGCUGACGAGUGGCGGACGGGUGAGUAAUGUCUGGGAAACUGCCUGAUGGAGGGGGAUAACUACUGGAAACGGUAGCUAAUACCGCAUAACGUCGCAAGACCAAAGAGGGGGACCUUCGGGCCUCUUGCCAUCGGAUGUGCCCAGAUGGGAUUAGCUAGUAGGUGGGGUAACGGCUCACCUAGGCGACGAUCCCUAGCUGGUCUGAGAGGAUGACCAGCCACACUGGAACUGAGACACGGUCCAGACUCCUACGGGAGGCAGCAGUGGGGAAUAUUGCACAAUGGGCGCAAGCCUGAUGCAGCCAUGCCGCGUGUAUGAAGAAGGCCUUCGGGUUGUAAAGUACUUUCAGCGGGGAGGAAGGGAGUAAAGUUAAUACCUUUGCUCAUUGACGUUACCCGCAGAAGAAGCACCGGCUAACUCCGUG